CCUACGGGUGGCAGCAGUGGGGAAUAUUGCACAAUGGGCGAAAGCCUGAUGCAGCAACGCCGCGUGAAGGAAGAAGGUUUUCGGAAUGUAAACCUCUGUUCUUAGGGAAGAAUAAUGACGGUAACUAAGGAGCAAGCCACGGCUAACUACGUGCCAGCAGCCGCGGUAAUACGUAGGUGGCAAGCGUUGUCCGGAAUUACUGGGUGUAAAGGGAGCGUAGGCGGGAAGGCAAGUCAGAUGUGAAAACUACGGGCUUAACCUGUGGACUGCAGUUGAAACUGGCUAUCUAGAGUGAAGGAGAGGUUGGCGGAAUUCCGAGUGUAGCGGUGAAAUGCGUAGAUAUUCGGAGGAACACCAGUGGCGAAGGCGGCCAACUGGGCUUUAACUGACGCUGAGGCUCGAAAGUGUGGGGAGCAAACAGGAUUAGAUACCCGAGUAGUC
This 441-nucleotide ribosomal RNA is filed under the name uncultured bacterium. RNAcentral's name for it is "partial 16S ribosomal RNA". It matches the Rfam family "Bacterial small subunit ribosomal RNA", at positions 338 to 795 of the family's 1533-position model. The record is from RNAcentral.